AAUUGCAAGCAUUACUUGCUCUGCGAUUGAGACUGCGUCGGAUCCAGCCAGAUGCCGGGGUACCGGCCCACCAAUACCUUUGACCCGUAUUGGAAUAUGAGAGUUAAGAGCCCAGAGAAGGGCAUUGAGCCAAUGGCCCUAGCGCUACGGCGUGCAGCAGGCGCGCAAACUCCACAAUGCACAUACGUGUGAUGGGGGGAAUUUUGAGUGGUUCACUUUCGGUGACCCUUUUGCCAAGUUUAGCAAGCUUGAAGAAUAAGUGCUGGGUAAGACCGGUGGCAGCCGCCACGGUAAUACCGGCGGCACAAGUGGUAUUCACAAUUAUUGGGCUUAAAGCGUUAGUAGCCGGCUGAAACAGUCUUGUGUGAAAUGUUGGUGCAUGACAUCAACACGUGCAUAAGAUACCUUUCGGCUAGGGAGUGGGAGAGGUUUGGAGUAUUCAUGGGGUAAGGGUAAAAUCUCGUAAUCCUAUGAAGACUACCGGUGGCGAAGGCGCCAAACCAGAACACAUCCGACGGUGAGUGACGAAGGCCAGGAGAACGAAUCGGAUUAGAUACCCGAGUAGCCCUGGCAGUAAAUGAUGCAGACUCUGGUGUUGCGUUUAUCACGAAUAAAUGCAGUACCGUAGGACAACUGUUAAGUCUGCCGCCUGGGGAGUACGGCCGCAAGGUUGAAACUUAAAGGAAUUGGCGGGGGAGCACAAGGGCGAAUUCCAGCACACUGGCGGCCGUUACUAGUGGAUCCGAGCUCGGUACCAAGCC
RNAcentral lists this ribosomal RNA (761 nucleotides) under uncultured archaeon. Its description in RNAcentral is "bacterial SSU rRNA". It matches the Rfam family "Archaeal small subunit ribosomal RNA", at positions 184 to 954 of the family's 1478-position model. The record is from RNAcentral.